Lolium perenne is the source of this 560-nucleotide long non-coding RNA. RefSeq lists it as uncharacterized. The record is from RefSeq and is a predicted model, not a curated record. NCBI's taxonomy places the organism in Eukaryota, Viridiplantae, Streptophyta, Magnoliopsida, Poales, Poaceae.
UAUUUAUCCUAUUCCUCUCCUUGUUGAUGAGCCUGCGCUUGUGGGAUUCCAAUUAGUUCCCUCUAGAUAUAUUAGUAUGUUUAGAUGUGGUGAUGCUGGGAUCAGUAGCGAGUGUUCUACUAUAGCAUUCUUGUUUCAUUAGUAGUUUGUGGAACUGUAAGCCAGUGAUGAUCUAGCCUGGCUUGGCACUGGCAUAUUCUAUCUGUGGUUGCAGUGCCUCUUUUGAAGUGUGCUAGUGUUUGGACAUGCAUCAGCUUGUGAUACAAAUGCUGCUACCAUGUAACCACUAUUGUCAGUCAUGUGCUGGAGCUGCUGACCGGACAGUCACCGGUGUUCUCCAAGGGUGCAUCAUUUCACGUCACAUCCAUUUUCUUUAUUGACAAUAUGCAAAUGUUUUACAAGAGCUCCACGCCGAAAGAAGUUUGAAGACACGUGAAGCCCUACUCAGCAAAAAGUAUCAGUUACUAUAUAUGUAGAGUUGGUUAUCCUGUGUGUGAUAUAUGAUGUAAUAGACUGAUGCUUGCUGUUAUUUAAAGUACAACUUAUGAUUAAUGCUCUGA